CGCGGCCUAUCAGCUUGUUGGCGAGGUAAAGGCUCACCAAGGCAUUGACGGGUAGCUGGUCUGAGAGGACGGUCAGCCACACUGGGACUGAGACACGGCCCAGACUCCUGCGGGAGGCAGCAGUGGGGAAUCUUGCGCAAUGGGCGAAAGCCUGACGCAGCAACGCCGCGUGGAGGAUGAAGGCUCUCGGGUUGUAAACCCCUUUCAGCAGGGACGAAAUUGACGGUACCUGUAGAAGAAGCCCCGGCCAACUACGUGCCAGCAGCCGCGGUAACACGUAGGGGGCGAGCGUUGUCCGGAAUUAUUGGGCGUAAAGGGCUCGUAGGCGGUUCGGUAAGUCAGAUGUGAAAGGUUGGGGCUCAACCCUAAGACUGCAUUUGAUACUGCCGUGACUAGAGUCCGGUAGAGGAGUGUGGAAUUCCUGGUGUAGCGGUGAAAUGCGCAGAUAUCAGGAGGAACACCGACGGCGAAGGCAGCACUCUGGGCCGGUACUGACGCUGAGGAGCGAAAGCGUGGGUAGCAAGCAGGAUUAGAUACCCUGGUAGUCCACGCCGUAAACGUUGGGCACUAGGUGUGGGACCUUAUCAACGGGUUCCGUGCCGUAGCUAACGCAUUAAGUGCCCCGCCUGGGGAGUACGG
Molecule: ribosomal RNA, 639 nt
Filed under: uncultured bacterium
Lineage: Bacteria
Description: bacterial SSU rRNA
Rfam family: Bacterial small subunit ribosomal RNA
Source: RNAcentral